GUCCUUUUGUAUUAAAUUUAAGGUCUAACCUGCCCACUGAUUUUUAAAUGGCCGCAGUACUCUAACUGUGCAAAGGUAGCAUAAUAAUUAGUCUUUUAAUUGAAGGCUUGUAUGAAUGGUUGGACGAAAUAUUAACUGUUUCAUUUAAAUUUAGAGUAGAAUUUUAUUUUUCAGUCAAAAAGCUGAAAUUUUUUUAAAAGACGAGAAGACCCUAUAAAUCUUUACAUAUAGAUUUAAUUAUUUUAAGAAGAAUAUUAUAAAAUAUUUAAAUUUCUGUGUUUUAUUGGGGUGAUAUUAAAAUUUAAAAAACUUUUAAUUUAAAAAUUCAUUAAUGUAUGAUUUUUUGAUCCGUUUAAACGAUUAAUAAAUUAAGUUACUUUAGGGAUAACAGCGUAAUUCUUUUGGAGAGUUCAUAUCGAUAAAAGAGAUUGCGACCUCGAUGUUGGAUUAAGGAAUAAUUUUAGAUGCAGCAGUCUAAAUGAUAAGUCUGUUCGACUUUUAAACCCUU
RNAcentral lists this ribosomal RNA (508 nucleotides) under Tetanocera freyi. RNAcentral describes it as "partial 16S ribosomal RNA". It matches the Rfam family "Bacterial large subunit ribosomal RNA", at positions 1819 to 2597 of the family's 2925-position model. Lineage: Eukaryota; Metazoa; Arthropoda; Insecta; Diptera; Sciomyzidae. The record is from RNAcentral.